This 367-nucleotide ribosomal RNA is filed under the name uncultured Bartonella sp. Its description in RNAcentral is "bacterial SSU rRNA". It matches the Rfam family "Bacterial small subunit ribosomal RNA", at positions 44 to 438 of the family's 1533-position model. Lineage: Bacteria; Pseudomonadati; Pseudomonadota; Alphaproteobacteria; Hyphomicrobiales; Bartonellaceae. The record is from RNAcentral.
AGGCUUAACACAUGCAAGUCGAGCGCACUCUUUUAGAGUGAGCGGCAAACGGGUGAGUAACGCGUGGGAAUCUACCCCUCUCUACGGAAUAACACAGAGAAAUUUGUGCUAAUACCGUAUACGUCCUAUUGGAGAAAGAUUUAUCGGAGAUGGAUGAGCCCGCGUUGGAUUAGCUAGUUGGUGAGGUAAUAGCUCACCAAGGCGACGAUCCAUAGCUGGUCUGAGAGGAUGAUCAGCCACACUGGGACUGAGACACGGCCCAGACUCCUACGGGAGGCAGCAGUGGGGAAUAUUGGACAAUGGGGGCAACCCUGAUCCAGCCAUGCCGCGUGAGUGAUGAAGGGCCUAGGGUUGUAAAGCUCUUUCA